GAGCACUCUAACGAGACUGCCUUCGUAAGGAGGAGGAAGGUGAGGACGACGUCAAGUCAUCAUGGCCCUUACGGCCAGGGCUACACACGUGCUACAAUGGGGCGUACAAAGAGCUGCAAUACCGCGAGGUGGAGCCAAUCUCUUAAAGCGUCUCUCAGUUCGGAUUGUUCUCUGCAACUCGAGAACAUGAAGCUGGAAUCACUAGUAAUCGUAGAUCAGCUAUGCUACGGUGAAUACGUUCCCGGGUCUU
Molecule: ribosomal RNA, 250 nt
Filed under: uncultured Sulfuricurvum sp.
Lineage: Bacteria; Pseudomonadati; Campylobacterota; Epsilonproteobacteria; Campylobacterales; Sulfurimonadaceae
Description: partial 16S ribosomal RNA
Rfam family: Bacterial small subunit ribosomal RNA
Source: RNAcentral